GGCAUCUGACAUCCCUGUUUGUUUUAGGAGACUGGUGUAAAUCCAUCUAUUGGUAUCCGGUAUCCACCUUUGUUGUGAGAUUGGUAUAAGUCCAUUGAUGGCAUUCGGUAUCACCUUGCUUUUGCUUGCUUGUUUUGUUUCCUAUUCCAAAGGACACACUUGAAUCAUCUUCUAUAUGAUUUCAAGAGGUGAACUUCUAGGAAGUUUUAC
RNAcentral lists this long non-coding RNA (210 nucleotides) under Lathyrus oleraceus (garden pea). RNAcentral describes it as "Pisum sativum (pea) long non-coding RNA (PSAT_LNC026790)". Lineage: Eukaryota; Viridiplantae; Streptophyta; Magnoliopsida; Fabales; Fabaceae. The record is from RNAcentral.